GGGCUCACACAAGCGGUGGAGGAUGUGGCUUAAUUCGAGGCAACGCGAAGAACCUUAUCCUGGAUUUGACAUGUAUGGAUUAACUCUGUGAAAGCAGAGCCACGCCUUCGGGUGGAACAUACACAGGUGCUGCAUGGCUGUCGUCAGCUCGUGUCGUGAGACGUCGCGUUAAGUCGCUUAACGAGCGCAACCCUUGUCCUUAGUUGCCAGCACGUCAUGGUGGGGACUCUAAGGAGACUGCCGGUGUUAAACCGGAGGAAGGCGGGGACGACGUCAAGUCAUCAUGGCUUUAUGUCCAGGGCUGCACACGUCCUACAAUGCAAUGUACAAAGGGCAGCGAACCCCGCGAGGGUAAGCAAA
Molecule: ribosomal RNA, 360 nt
Filed under: uncultured bacterium
Lineage: Bacteria
Description: bacterial SSU rRNA
Rfam family: Bacterial small subunit ribosomal RNA
Source: RNAcentral